RNAcentral lists this ribosomal RNA (119 nucleotides) under Arabis alpina (gray rockcress). Its description in RNAcentral is "rRNA ENSRNAG00050208659". Lineage: Eukaryota; Viridiplantae; Streptophyta; Magnoliopsida; Brassicales; Brassicaceae. The record is from RNAcentral.
GGGGUGCAACACGAGGACUUCCCAGGAGGUCACCCAUCCUAGUACUACUCUCGCACAAGCACGCUUAACUGCGGAGUUCUGAUGGGAUCCGGUGCAUUAGUGCUGGAAUGAUCGCACCC